RNAcentral lists this unclassified non-coding RNA (846 nucleotides) under Hevea brasiliensis (rubber tree). Lineage: Eukaryota; Viridiplantae; Streptophyta; Magnoliopsida; Malpighiales; Euphorbiaceae. The record is from RNAcentral.
GUUGGUCCUCAUGACCAGAAGCAGGUUAGAGAUUCUGCAACUAUCUUACGGAAAUUUAUUUCUUAUUUUUACUAGAUAGUAGAUAAAAUAUGUUGAUGAAGGCCUCAACAUUUUAAUCAUUAAAUUUGAUGUGAAUUAGUCCAGAUAUGGACAUUUAGUAGUACAAAAUACACAUGGGCUUCUCUUGCUAUGCUUCUCUUCUUGCUGCAGCUUGUACUGCUUUUAGGCUUAAGUAUAUGAUGUUGUUAGAAUGCUGAUGAGUUCUGAGGUUGAGUUUGUAAGCUGCACAGCUUCUCUGCAUUUUGGUCUUUUGUGAAGUUCUUGUUGCAAUUGUGCAAAAAUGAUCAAAUUCCAGAGUUUCAAGUUUCAUGCUGUGCUUCUUAUUUUGCAUCAAUGUUGCAUAUUAUAUAACUCCCUUAAUCAUCAAAGUAGAGUCACCCUGUACAAAAAAAAAAAAUUUAAAUAGAUAAGUCAUGAAGCACACAAGCAUAUUUUUGAAGAAGCAUUGGCAGCCUGGCUACAUGAUUGUUGUGAUAUCAUGUAAGGGGCUUGUUGAUAAUACUGUAAUUAGAUGAGAGCAGCUUGUAUAUAUCAUGGUUAUUGGUAUCUUUUCAUUUUAAUUAUUUUAACUAUUUCGUUUUCAAUUAUUCUUCUGGUGAUUUGUCAAAUAUGUAAUUAAAGUUUUUUUAGAAUGGAUUAUGGUUUUCUGGAUUAAUUUAUUUCAUGCCAUUGAUCUUCAGUGGUUUCAUUCAUAUUCCAGAUUUGAUUCUGUGAAGUGUGCUGCUUUGUGUUGUAAUAAAUAAUCUGACUGCUGUGACUUUUGGUUGUGGUAAAACUAUCUUUCUU